This 492-nucleotide ribosomal RNA is filed under the name uncultured bacterium. RNAcentral describes it as "partial 16S ribosomal RNA". It matches the Rfam family "Bacterial small subunit ribosomal RNA", at positions 29 to 507 of the family's 1533-position model. The record is from RNAcentral.
AGUGAACGCUGGCGGUAGGCCUAACACAUGCAAGUCGAACGGCAGCUCAGUAAGAGCUUGCUCUUACGGGUGGCGAGUGGCGGACGGGUGAGGAAUACAUCGGAAUCUACUUUUUCGUGGGGGAUAACGUAGGGAAACUUACGCUAAUACCGCAUACGACCUACGGGUGAAAGCAGGGGAUCUUCGGACCUUGCGCGAUUGAAUGAGCCGAUGUCGGAUUAGCUAGUUGGCGGGGUAAAGGCCCACCAAGGCGACGAUCCGUAGCUGGUCUGAGAGGAUAAUCAGCCACACUGGAACUGAGACACGGUCCAGACUCCUACGGGAGGCAGCAGUGGGGAAUAUUGGACAAUGGGCGCAAGCCUGAUCCAGCCAUACCGCGUGGGUGAAGAAGGCCUUCGGGUUGUAAAGCCCUUUUGUUGGGAAAGAAAAGCAGCAGGUUAAUACCCCGCUGUUCUGACGGUACCCAAAGAAUAAGCACCGGCUAACUUCGUG